CAGUAGCCGCGGUAAUACGAAGGGUGCAAGCGUUAAUCGGAAUUACUGGGCGUAAAGCGUGCGCAGGCGGUUAUGUAAGACAGAUGUGAAAUCCCCGGGCUCAACCUGGGAAUGGCAAUGGAUACUGGCAAGCUAGAGUGUGUCAGAGGAUGGUGGAAUUCCCGGUGUAGCGGUGAAAUGCGUAGAGAUCGGGAGGAACAUCAGUGGCGAAGGCGGCCAUCUGGGACAACACUGACGCUGAGGCACGAAAGCGUGGGGAGCAAACAGGAUUAGAUACCCCCGUAGUCCCUGUCUCUUAUAC
RNAcentral lists this ribosomal RNA (301 nucleotides) under uncultured bacterium. RNAcentral's name for it is "partial 16S ribosomal RNA". It matches the Rfam family "Bacterial small subunit ribosomal RNA", at positions 509 to 807 of the family's 1533-position model. The record is from RNAcentral.